CCUACGGGUGGCAGCAGUCGGGAAUAUUGCGCAAUGGAGGAAACUCUGACGCAGUGACGCCGCGUGCAGGAAGAAGGUUUUCGGGUUUUAAACUUCUUUAGACAGGGAAGAAAAAAGACAGUACCUGUAGAAUAAGCUCCGGCUAACUACGUUCCAGCAGCCGCGGUAAUACGGAGGGCACACGCGUUAUCCGGAUGUAUUGGGUGUAAAGGGUGCGUAGACGGGGAAGCAAGUCAGUUGUGAAAUCCCUCGGCUUAACUGAGGAACUGCAACUAAAACUAGUUCCCUUGAGUACUGGAGAGGAAAGUGGAAUUCCUAGUGUAGCGGUGAAAUGCGUAGAUAUUAGGAGGAACACCAGUGGCGAAGGCGACUUUCUGGACAGUAACUGACGUUGAGGCACGAAAGUGUGGGGAGCAAACAGGAUUAGAUACCCGGGUAGUC
RNAcentral lists this ribosomal RNA (441 nucleotides) under uncultured bacterium. RNAcentral's name for it is "partial 16S ribosomal RNA". It matches the Rfam family "Bacterial small subunit ribosomal RNA", at positions 338 to 795 of the family's 1533-position model. The record is from RNAcentral.